Molecule: long non-coding RNA, 672 nt
Filed under: Brachypodium distachyon (stiff brome)
Lineage: Eukaryota; Viridiplantae; Streptophyta; Magnoliopsida; Poales; Poaceae
Description: long non-coding RNA (BDIS_LNC002983)
Source: RNAcentral
GGGCGCGUGCGGCGACGGCGGUUGCACGGGCGCGCGCGGCCAGCGGCGGCGACGGCGGGGUCGGUUGGAGAUGGCGGAGGUGAGGGAUGACAGGUGGACCCUACCUGUCAGUGAGAGAGAGUGAAGAGUUGAAAACGUAAUCCCUCGAGAAUACGCUUUCCUGCGGAGAAAACGUAAUGCCAGAGAAAAAGAAAAAGAAUAAAAGAAAAAGAUUAUAAAAUACUUCUCAGGAUCUAUAAUUCACCCGAAAUUCCAUUUAAAUCAUUUAAAAUAUCAAAUGGCAUCAGAAAAAUUGCAAAAAAUUCGGUAAAAUAAUAUAUCUCAUUUAGAGUCCAGGAAAAUUAUUCCCACUCAAAAAUAAGUUAAUAAAAUUAGUUUUAAUGUUUUUAAGCUUUAAAUAAAUCCAAAUAAAAUCGUAGAAUGCAUUUUUAAAUUCUAGAAAAUUCUCAAAUCAAUUCCUAUCAACCUAACACAUUCCAAAACACCAUUUCCAACACUUUCAAUAAUGCGUCAUAAUGAACACCAAAAUUUUAAGAUAUGAUCAAGGUGAUAUGCAUACGAAAUGAAAAUGUGCGAACAUCCGAAAUUGAAAAUUUGGGAUGUUACAAACCUACCCCCCUUAAGGUGAAUCUCGACCCCGAGAUUCGGAUUGGCUGGUAAAAAGGUGAGGAU